AGCCCCAGGACAAAAUGACAAUCUGAGACUUUCGCAUAUGGAUGCUGGAUCAAGCUUAUACGCAUUGAACAUAUAACGCAAGAUGAAGGCAAAUGUCUAAUUUCUCCCGAAGAAAAUGGUAAGGAAUGAUAAGAAUUGCCCUCCCAUUUAAUUCAUUCUAACAUAAAGGAACAGAGGAACUUUUGCAUCAAAUAUGUGAAUAUUAGAAAAUAUAUUUGUAGAACAUAAUUGAAAAGAACAACACCAAUGUUAAUUAGGUUGAGCACAUGCAGUCUACUGUGUAUAAUACUGACUUCUUGGUCAAAAUAUGCUACUGUCUUCUAAAUACAUGUGCAUAUCUGACAACUGACAUCAGAUAGUGCUAGCACACAAGCAAUAUGUGGUACUUUAAAUCAGCAAAGAAAUGUCUCCAAUUAUGCAUGGAGCAAAACGUGUCUCAAGAUAACCCAGUUUAAGCUAAUAUGACCAAAAAUAUGAACAGAGCAAGUUCGGCGGUCAUCUUAAUUGUUGUAUAAUAGGUAAAACUCCAAGUAGUUCCUUAUUUCAAUUUAAACCUCUAUUCCAUCAAUUGCAGAAAGCAGAACUAAAUUGGAGGGACCAUAUUGAUAUUUAGCAGUGUGAUAAAGUGACAUACCAGCUCCGAGGAAACCCUUGUAUAUGGAGAACUGUCAGCAUGAGG
This 679-nucleotide long non-coding RNA is filed under the name Eucalyptus grandis. Its description in RNAcentral is "long non-coding RNA (EGRA_LNC002219)". Lineage: Eukaryota; Viridiplantae; Streptophyta; Magnoliopsida; Myrtales; Myrtaceae. The record is from RNAcentral.